RNAcentral lists this unclassified non-coding RNA (363 nucleotides) under uncultured bacterium. Its description in RNAcentral is "contains 16S-23S intergenic spacer region". The record is from RNAcentral.
UCCCCCGUGAGGGGGCAGUCUCGCCUGAUACGUGUAACAGGCAACGAGGGUUGCGUUCGUUACCCCACUGAAGGGAACGAUUCAAACCACGAACUGACGACAGCCAUGCAUCACCUGUCCUACACCCUCGAAGGCUUCCUAAGUUUCCUUAGGCGUGCAGUAGGAUUUCUAGUCUGGGUAAGGUUCUUCGCUUAGCGACGAAUUAAGCCACACGCUCCACCGCUUGUGCAAGCCCCCGUCUAUUCCUUUGAGUUUUAACCUUGCGGUCGUACUACCCAGGCGGUCAACUUAACGCGUUAGCUUCGCCACUCAGAGGGUCGAUACUCCGAAUAGCCAGUUGACAUGGUUUAGGGCGUGGACUAC